Molecule: ribosomal RNA, 253 nt
Filed under: uncultured bacterium
Lineage: Bacteria
Description: partial 16S ribosomal RNA
Rfam family: Bacterial small subunit ribosomal RNA
Source: RNAcentral
UACGGGGGGUGCGAGCGUUGUCCGGAUUCACUGGGCAUAAAGGGCGCGUAGGCGGCGUGACAAGUCACUUGUGAAAUCUCCGGGCUUAACUCGGAACGGUCAAGUGAUACUGUCGUGCUAGAGUACAGAAGGGGCAACUGGAAUUCUCGGUGUAGCGGUGAAAUGCGUAGAUAUCGAGAGGAACACCAAUAGCGAAGGCAGCUCGCUGGGACGUUACUGACACUAAGGCGCGAAAGCGUGGGGAGCGAACAGG